This 254-nucleotide ribosomal RNA is filed under the name uncultured bacterium. RNAcentral's name for it is "partial 16S ribosomal RNA". It matches the Rfam family "Bacterial small subunit ribosomal RNA", at positions 524 to 776 of the family's 1533-position model. The record is from RNAcentral.
UACGUAGGGGGCAAGCGUUGUCCGGAUUUAUUGGGCGUAAAGAGCUCGUAGGCGGUUGGGCAAGUCACGUGUGAAAUCUCCACGCUCAACGUGGAGGCGCCACGUGAGACUGCCCUGACUCGAGUCCGGUAGGGGAGCGUGGAAUUCCUGGUGUAGCGGUGAAAUGCGCAGAUAUCAGGAAGAACACCUAUGGCGAAGGCAGCUCUCUGGGACGGUACUGACGCUGAGACGCGAAAGCGUGGGGAGCGAACAGG